Molecule: long non-coding RNA, 102 nt
Filed under: Jaculus jaculus (lesser Egyptian jerboa)
Lineage: Eukaryota; Metazoa; Chordata; Mammalia; Rodentia; Dipodidae
Description: MEST intronic transcript 1, antisense RNA conserved region 3 (ENSJJAG00000006365.1)
Rfam family: MEST intronic transcript 1, antisense RNA conserved region 3
Source: RNAcentral
UGGGUAGGCUUUUUCCGUGGCCUUCAGAAUAUAGCAUCUUUUGUGGGGCAGCCAGACCAUUAAUUAGAAAAUUGCCUUCAUCUUGGAUGCUGGCGUUUCUUG